UCGUUUAAGCAGUCGCACAUUAUUUUGCUUUCCCACUUGGUUUAUUAAAACCUUCCAUUCCUAUUUAUACUAAUCGCUGAAGUACCUUCACCAACUCAAUCCACUCGACGUCUUCUUUUUCCUUUCUUUUUAUUCUUUUUUUAUUCCCUCGACAGACAGUCGGCACUUCAAGCAUAAUAAUGCAUAUAUUUGUGCAGUGGCCGAUUUGGCCGAAAGGCAUCAAAAUGAUAACUUGACAAGCUUGUUUUGUUUAUUUUAUUUUUAUAUCAUUCCUUUUUCUGCUGUCCAUCUAUCAUGCUAGAACACUAACCUAGUGGGAGAGAUACGAAUAUGGAAUGCUUUGUUUUCAUUAUUUUAUGUUUCUCUCUCUCAUCACCUUCUUUCUACUUUUAAUUCUUUAUUCCUUCUCUCCUUAUUCCUUCUUUCUUUAAUCCUUCUUACUUCUCUUUUUAAGGCUGACAGAGAGAGAGACCAUCAGAACCGGUUUCCUCUUCCUUUCCUUAGCUUAUUUCUUCCUUUCUUUUAUUCUCCUUUCCUGUUCCUUCUUCUUCUUCUCUUAGACCGAAACCCACCAAGACAAUCAGAGAACCAUAAACAAAUUCAGUAAAAACAAACCCAUCAAGGCCCGAGACCCCACGAACUCGGAACCACCGAGACUCGACGAACCCGUGCGUGACCCAGCCGACCCGGCGUCGACCCAGGGGCAACUCCGACGGGUUCUGGCCGUGACCGGCGAACCCAGCAACCCGGAUUUCCAAGCAUCUCAUUCCUUCCGAACAACCGAAGCGUGACCAAACCCAGAACCGGAUUCUAGCCAAUUCCCCAAAUGCGAGACGCCAGUGGACACCAAGAAGACCUGAUUUGGGCCAUGUUUCCAGUAGGCCAGAAGAACCUACAGAUUUAUCCAACCCAAUCUAAUCUGACCUGCAAGCCCAACCCAACAGCAAUCCACAAAUUGAUUUCAGCCCAGACCCGCAAGCCCAUCAACCCAGACCCAGCAGCCCAAAACCCAUAAGCCCCACAAACUAGUUCCAAACCAGCAACCCACAAGCCCAAAGCCCAGACCGAAGCCAUUAAACCCAGCAGUAACCCAUACCCACUGAGCUUGACCCGAACCCGGAACCCCGACCCGCCUCCGGCGACUUUUCCGGCAGUGUCUCCGGCCACUUUUCCGGCGACUUUCCGGCGACUUUCCGGUGACUUUUUCGGCUAUUUUUCUCGGCGACCAAACUCACCGUUUCGCUGGAUUUUCGAGUGAAAAUCCUUAAUAUGAUGAAUUGAGACAGCACAAAAAGGGCUGUAAGUAUUUUUAUACUUACUGAGGGUAGCACUGGAUUUCAGUAAUGUUGUGUUUAUGUUUUAUUUUAAUUGGAUGCGUGUGACUGAUUAUUGCAUACUGUUAAUAAUCAACCUAUUAAUAUUGGGCGCGACGUCUCCCAAAGGUUCAUGAUAGAGUUGAACCGGAAACAAUAAUAAUCAUAUUGAUUGGGACGGCUUUCAAAGUACUAGAGGAGGGAGGUCUCCGAUAGUGCGAAAACAAGUUAAUUAAAAUGUAAUGUAGAGGGGACGGCCUCGAGAAACACGAUUAAACGGGGGGACGUGCCCUUACAAGAGAGGAGUGUAAUCACUAUAUAAACUGUUAAACUUUGCAUGAAAAACUAUCACCACAUCAUUAUGUCAUAUCUGUUCCUUAAAAUAACGCAUAAAUCAUGAUGUUGUUGAAAGACAGUUAGCUCACUCAUGGAACUAUGGGAUUGUGGCGGUAACCACCUUCUCAUAGAUGUUUGCGCAGGUACUGAAGAUUAUGGAAUGGAUUAACUGCUAGCUUAAGAGAUUUAUAGCUGUGUAGUUAGGAUUUUAGUACUUUGUACUCAUAGAUGUUUGUACUAUUUGCUUGUAAUAUGUCUAGACAUUUACUUGUAAUUAAUAAGUUCCAUGCAGGCUUUAGUGUCAUAUGUGACACAUGUUUCUUUGUAAAUAGUGUAAAGAUUUUUAAUGUAUUUUCUAGAAGAUGUCAGUUAAAGCUCUGAAUAUAUCGUAAGGGAGUUGUCCCUAUCGGUGAUGUUUAAAAAAAAAGAUAUUCGUAUUUUUCC
Long non-coding RNA from Alnus glutinosa, 2093 nucleotides. RefSeq lists it as uncharacterized. Lineage: Eukaryota; Viridiplantae; Streptophyta; Magnoliopsida; Fagales; Betulaceae. The record is from RefSeq and is a predicted model, not a curated record. The transcript has 2 exons.